Molecule: unclassified non-coding RNA, 621 nt
Filed under: Hevea brasiliensis (rubber tree)
Lineage: Eukaryota; Viridiplantae; Streptophyta; Magnoliopsida; Malpighiales; Euphorbiaceae
Source: RNAcentral
GAAGUUUCACUAUUUACUAACAUCAUUUCAUUCAUUGACUGUUGAUUAUAGUGUUGGCAAAGACAUGGACUGGUGCCCUGUAUUUUAGCUAGUUAUUUCUUGCUCUUCAAUUGCAUUAGGAGUCAUUUGUAUGUAUUGGAACUAGGAAAGUGGUGGUUGCAAAUUCCUUGUCCUAAUGUCUAGUUAUAGAGUAUCUGUACCUUUAGGAAGUAAAUUACUGAUUUCUUCAUGUUUAUUGAAUGACCGAUGAUGAUGUCGCAUUUAUGAAUAGUGGAUGUUAAUGUAUGAGAUAUGAUUUUGAUCAGUAUUUACGAUUUUCAACUGGCAAUAUUUCCUUUUUCCAUUUUUACCUCAUGUCAUAUAGCUUAUCAUCUAUGUUGGUGAAGUAUUACUACUUAAUCUGGUUGGUCCUAAUUGUGAAUUGGUAUUUUAUGUUGUUUGUACAUUUUUGGGAAUCUUUCAUCGAAGUAUAAAAAUUCCGAUGUAUAUAUAGAAUCAUCAUUGGCUGAACUUAAGAGGAGUUGGAACCAGAAAGUUUCAAAUGUUGGUUCAAGAGCAAUGUUAUGAACUAUUAGGUCCUGUGUAAGAGCUGUUAUCAAAAUUGAAGCACUGCAGCUCACU